This 93-nucleotide transfer RNA is filed under the name Metaplax longipes. RNAcentral describes it as "tRNA-Ser". Lineage: Eukaryota; Metazoa; Arthropoda; Malacostraca; Decapoda; Varunidae. The record is from RNAcentral.
GAAGGAACAUUAAGUCAAAGGAUGAAAGCUUCUAACUUUUUCCUAAGCGGUUAAAUUCCGUUUAUGUCCCUCCAUAUUACAUAAUAAUUACAA